GGAUUCCCCUAGUAACUGCGAGUGAAGCGGGAAAAGCUCAAAUUUAAAAUCUGGUAGUCUUUGGCUGCCCGAGUUGUAAUCUAGAGAAGCGUUAUCCGUGCUGGACCGUGUAUAAGUCUCCUGGAAUGGAGCGUCAUAGAGGGUGAGAAUCCCGUCUUUGACACGGACUACCAGUGCUUUGUGAUGCGCUCUCAAAGAGUCGAGUUGUUUGGGAAUGCAGCUCUAAAUGGGUGGUAAAUUCCAUCUAAAGCUAAAUAUUGGCGAGAGACCGAUAGCGAACAAGUACCGUGAGGGAAAGAUGAAAAGAACUUUGGAAAGAGAGUUAAAUAGUACGUGAAAUUGUUGAAAGGGAAACGCUUGAAGUCAGUCGCGUUGAUCAGGGAUCAACCUUGCUUUUGCUUGGUGCACUUCCUGGUUUACGGGUCAGCAUCAAUUUUGACCGAUGGAAAAAGGUCAGGGGAAUGUGGCAUCUUCGGAUGUGUUAUAGCCUCUGAUUGUAUACAUUGGUUGGGAUUGAGGAACUCAGCACGCCGCAAGGCCGGGUUUUUACCACGUUCGUGCUUAGGAUGCUGGCAUAAUGGCUUUAAUCGACCCGUCUUGAAACACGGACCAAGGAGUCUAACAUGCCUGCGAGUGUUUGGGGUGGAAAACCCAAGCGCGUAAUGAAAGUGAAAGUUGGGAUCUCUGUCGUGGAGAGCACCGACGCCCGGACCAGACCUUCUGUGACGGAUCCGCGGUAGAGCAUGUAUGUUGGGACCCGAAAGAUGGUGAACUAUGCCUGAAUAGGGUGAAGCCAGAGGAAACUCUGGUGGAGGCUCGUAGCGAUUCUGACGUGCAAAUCGAUCGUCGAA
This 851-nucleotide ribosomal RNA is filed under the name Entoloma rhodocylix. RNAcentral's name for it is "eukaryotic LSU rRNA". It matches the Rfam family "Eukaryotic large subunit ribosomal RNA", at positions 72 to 909 of the family's 3401-position model. Lineage: Eukaryota; Fungi; Basidiomycota; Agaricomycetes; Agaricales; Entolomataceae. The record is from RNAcentral.